This 270-nucleotide ribosomal RNA is filed under the name uncultured archaeon. RNAcentral's name for it is "partial 16S ribosomal RNA". It matches the Rfam family "Archaeal small subunit ribosomal RNA", at positions 477 to 747 of the family's 1478-position model. The record is from RNAcentral.
CAGCACCUCAAGUGGUCAGGAUGAUUAUUGGGCCUAAAGCAUCCGUAGCCGGCGCUGUAAGUUUUCGGUUAAAUCUGUACGCUCAACGUACAGGCUGCCGGGAAUACUGCAGCGCUAGGGAGUGGGAGAGGUAGACGGUACUCGGUAGGAAGGGGUAAAAUCCUAUGAUCUAUUGAUGACCACCUGUGGCGAAGGCGGUAUACCAGAACACGUCCGACGGUGAGGGAUGAAAGCUGGGGGAGCAAACCGGAUUAGAGACCCGAGUAGUCC